RNAcentral lists this ribosomal RNA (378 nucleotides) under Triticum aestivum (bread wheat). Its description in RNAcentral is "partial small subunit ribosomal RNA". Lineage: Eukaryota; Viridiplantae; Streptophyta; Magnoliopsida; Poales; Poaceae. The record is from RNAcentral.
AUGUGGACCACAUAUAUGAAAGCGAUAUCUGGUGUAAAUUUCUUGCCUCCAGCUUAUCUUCCUCUGGGGCAAAGUAGCCCUGCAUUGGCGACACGCAGCGAAUCCACCGAACAAGGAUGGGAGAGGAUUACAGCCCAGCACAGGCCAAGGGAAGAGACACGCAGACGCACACGCGUGCCAACCAAAAAAAUACCGAAGAAGACCGAGCCGCCGCCCGCCGCCGCACCGAGAUUGCUGCUUUCCGCCGUGACGACAGCCGCUGGAGAUGAAGCAAAGGGCCAGCGCAACUCUCAGUCUCCGGUCUUGUCCAGAUCAGGCCAGUGGUUUUGUGGGUCAGAGAAAGUUACUACUCAAGAUCACACACUGAGAGCAGUAUAA